AAGGAAGGAAGGAAGUAUGUCGGAUGCUCGGUGAAAAUGUGUGUAAGUACGCGUGCGGUCUCGCGCGGCACGGCGCGGUGCAACGCGGUACAACGAACGAUAAGAAAAAGGGAGAAGGGUGAAAACGAGGAAGCGAUCGGCAGCUCCGGUAUACGUACACGUAUACAUACAUGCAUACAUACAUACAUACAUACAUACGUGGAUAUACACGAUAAGAGGGGAGGGGAGAGAGAGAGAGAGAGAGAAGACAGUGCGUAAUGCACAGGCGCGACGUUAACGAUACAAUGUACGAUGUAGUAGUUAGCGAACGUACCUCGUCUUCACCGGUGGCCACCGUGUUGACGGAGUCCAUACUCUGUGAGAGCGGUGCGUCCAUGAUGCAAGCGAGUUUGCUGGAUGGUCCGGGGUUUCCGGGGGCUGCGGUUCGAGCGGGUGGCGGCGAUGAGUCCACCGUAUCCCGUCUCGGGCGUUUUAAAGCGGGCGGCGUUAUGGUUGUACCGGCGAAGACGACAGGCGCCUCCAGGACGUAUCACUGGAAAUAACCCUUUUCUCGCGAGAAACCCAGGCGUAUCGCCUCCUUCCUCCUUCUCCACCUUUCCCUCCUUUCCUUCCCGUUGGCGAGCACGCGCGCGCACGUAUAUCUACGUACGUACGGCCUGUCUCUGAUACUUUCUUCCGUUCCGUCCUACCCUCUCUCUCUCUGUCUCUCUUUCUUCUCGUCUUCGUUUCGCUUCUUCCGCUUCCUGUUACGUUUCUUCUUGGUCACCUGCACCUCCGCCUCCACCGCCACCACCUCCUCCACCUCCAGCCCUACGACAGCGCGAUGCUGCUGCUGCUGUUGCUGCUACCGUUACUUUCGCUGCACCUGUCACGCGUUGUGCAAGGGCGUCAGGUAAGACCGAUGCAGAGGGAAAGUAAGAGAGAGAGAGGGCCCCAGAGACAGCCAGACAGUGUGAGCUGUACGUGUAGAGUGUGUAUGUAGCCUGCAGGUGUUCCCACGCGUCUAUUUUAGAGCAAUCGAUACACCGUGCCCGUGUAGGAGGGCCGAACCCAGAGAACGUGCUCUACAGUGGCGGUUCGUCGACGACACUUGUUCAUCUACCGGCGGCAGGUCCUAGGUGACUCCGACCCGAGGAAAUUGUAAACUCUAGCUCUGUCGGGCGAAGUUACGACCAAGUUCGUCAAGGGGGAAAAAAAAUGAAGGAUACUCCAGCUUCGUUGCGCGUCUCCUUCCAGGAAACGCGUUACUUCGUGGAAAUUAUGUUGACAACAACGUUGCUAUGGAUAGUUGUGUAUUGUGGUUGUAUAGCGGAGCGCGCACGUUUCACCGCGACGCGAACCACCGAACGCUUUCAACAAUAUACACUAAUGCUGCAGAUGGUAUCGGAUUGCCGAACCUAACCAAAAAAGGAAAAGAGAGAACCACUGCGUGUUACGUUGUUCUACUCGAAAAACGUCGUAACCAUACGCUUUCCCUGAGACUAACAGGUGGAAGCCGUUUGAAACGUGCAGCUUUCCUCGAGAUUAGCAGGUGGAAGAUGCUAUUGGUGUGUUCGUACCGCGGAUUAUUUCGAACCAGAUCUGGAGAAACCACCUUCCCCUCGUAGAAAGCAGAUGGAUGACUUAAUGUGAUGUCGAAGCGUGCUUCUCCUUCCUCCGUUUUCAUCAACAAAGUUGCAAAAAAGAUAACGAUGAAAUUAAAAUGUCGUUAAGUGAAACUUUCCGACAAAAGCUUUCGUUUCUUUCUAAAACAAAUUUUUGCAGCGAAAGAAGUAAGCGGAAUGUUGUUUCUACAAUUUCGUUCUAAAGAACGAAUCGUAUUGAGUUUUAAUUAUAGAUAAGCCAACCGACGCAGUUCAUCCGUUACAAAGCAAAGAUAUAGAGUUGGGUACUUCUUGAAAAUUAUAUAUUAAAGAAAAACGAUUUUCCAACGAUGCCGGAGAAGGAAAUUCUCGUUCCGAGAAAAGUUAUACUCACAAAUAUAGAAAGUAAUAUGGCUGCAUAGUGCAGGCCCGAUGGACAGUAAGGUGUAGCGGAGAAAAUGUUUUAUUGAUGGCUUAUUGCUUGAAUCGAUCGAUGGUUCCACGACAGCAAGUAGAGUAAUAGUUACUUAUGCUUCCCAGUUACUGAAAAUUAAUCAUAUAAUAUUAUUACCCACUAUUAUUUGUAGAUAACUAUUAGAAAUUUAUUUAUAAAAUUGUGUUAAUAUUUCUGCUAUUUGCAUUAUUAAUGAUCUCUGUUAUUUUAUAUUUUCCAUUUGUCGAUAGGAAAACCGUUGAACAUUUUAUUUCAAUUCUAUGAAAUAAACACAAAGUAAUGGCAAUUAAAUACAACUACUCUUGCAGAUGGCAGCUUACGUAAAGAAUAUGAAAUGACUUGCAUGCUAUGAAUUACUGCGGCGCAAAUUUAAAACGAACGUGCAUGUCGUGCUAUUUAUUUCGCUCAAUAAUCGUUCGUACAUGUAAAAACACACAUGUUUAAAAUAAAGUUUCGUGCUGUUUUCUAGAGAAAUUCUAAAAGUAUAUUUUGUUUCGUUGUCGCCAUGAUUCUGAAACUGAAUAGAAUAAAGAAAGGUUACAAAUAUAUCAAAU
Frieseomelitta varia is the source of this 2591-nucleotide long non-coding RNA. RefSeq lists it as uncharacterized. The record is from RefSeq and is a predicted model, not a curated record. NCBI's taxonomy places the organism in Eukaryota, Metazoa, Arthropoda, Insecta, Hymenoptera, Apidae. The transcript is spliced from 3 exons.